AUGAUGAUGACUCGAUUGAUGAACCAGUAAAAAUUAUUUUUACUGUUCAUCCCUGCUCUGAUCAGAAACUCUCAGAGUCAUCAUCCUAUGAGAUCACAUAGGAUGUUGUCUCCUCCUAUAAGGAGUGAUCGAUUUUUUAUUGACCAUUCACAACCUCCAUGCACACUUCACCAUAUCCAGAAUAUCCCACACAUAACUCAAAGUGAUGUGCUAG
RNAcentral lists this long non-coding RNA (214 nucleotides) under Elaeis guineensis (African oil palm). RNAcentral describes it as "long non-coding RNA (EGUI_LNC050448)". The record is from RNAcentral. Lineage: Eukaryota; Viridiplantae; Streptophyta; Magnoliopsida; Arecales; Arecaceae.